Long non-coding RNA from Hibiscus syriacus, 184 nucleotides. RefSeq lists it as uncharacterized. The transcript has 2 exons. NCBI's taxonomy places the organism in Eukaryota, Viridiplantae, Streptophyta, Magnoliopsida, Malvales, Malvaceae. The record is from RefSeq and is a predicted model, not a curated record.
GUUUUAAACCUCUCUAUAUAAUCUCACUGCCCCGGCUUACCCUUUCUCGUUGUCGUCGCAGCUUUUGAAGAAUUACGCAAAACACACAGAUUUUGAGCUGCAGAAAGAGACCCAUUUGGAAGCCUUUUCACCAUGAGAGCUAAGUGGAAGAAGAAGCGUAUGAGAAGGUUGAAGAGGAAGAGGA